Galleria mellonella (greater wax moth) is the source of this 1213-nucleotide long non-coding RNA. RefSeq lists it as uncharacterized. The transcript has 2 exons. NCBI's taxonomy places the organism in Eukaryota, Metazoa, Arthropoda, Insecta, Lepidoptera, Pyralidae. The record is from RefSeq and is a predicted model, not a curated record.
AUCGAACGCAUGCCCGGACGCAGGCGCAAUAGCCUACAGCUAAAGACGUUGCUCGACGGCGUAGAUCAGCAAUGCUAUUCACUAAAAAUCUACCGCAACGCUGCGCCCGCCGACGAGCUCUAGGCUGAUCAGCCUUGCGAACGACCGUGGCUACAGCGCUGCGGUAAUUGGUAUUCACUAACGUGUCAAACCUCAUCGACGAACUGUAGGCUGUGAUAACUCGAGGCUGUGCGCACGGACGAGAUAGGGCUUGCAACAAAAACCGUAAAAUGAAACCGAUAACUGUAGAAAUAUAAUAUUUUAUUGACAAAUGGAAUGUUUUAUUCAGUUUAGAAUGUUAUUUAAAUAAAUAUUAUAUAAAAUAAACAUAAAUUUAUACAUCAAACAUUUGAUUUUGUUUUUUAAAGUUAAGAUUUGUUUGAAUACCCUUGCUUCCAUUGCCGUAAAAUAAACAAAUAACACUUAUACGUAGGUACGUAGAGAGUAUUAUAUUCCUUGUACUUAACAUUCCAGAGGCGCACUUUUUGUAUUUGUUUAUUCUCUUUUAAAAAUAAUUAAUAAAAUUAACGUAACUUUACCAACGUUUUAUAAGUUUGGAUGUAUCUAUCAAAUACGUCCACGCCGUCAUUUGACUGACAGUAUCCCGAAGACACUUAUCUCCUUCACAAUAGCAGCCUCAACUAGAAAGAGAGUAGUCUCACAAAGAUUUGUUGCCACUGAAGAGCACCGAGUAGAGACAGAACAAAUUUUGAUAGAGAAUCAGACAACACUAGUUCAUAUCUUAUAGCUAAUGAAUGAGAUAUGACUAAAUUAAAGUCAGCCAUUGUACGAUUUAAUUAAAAAAAAUUUAAAAAAAUGUCAAAUAAUUUUUAUUCAAUUAAAUUUAAAAUAUUAUAAAUGGUAAUUCUUUAUGAUUCUACCAUCCAUUGUGAAGAAGGGGAGAAACCUCAAUUUUGGUUUUUAAAAUACUAAUAGAUUUUACAAUAAUACAUUUCUAAAAAUAUACACUGCCAAACAUAACAAGAGUUAUUGGAAUUAUUAGUUAAAUCAAGUUCAUUAUUGAAAAUAUAAGAUUAAAUUAUGUCAUUUAAUAGUCAUUAGUAAUUUUGAAAUAUAAGUUUCAUCUUAUAUAAUUUUCAAAUAAAAACACAAUUACAAUAAAAUUUUAUAAUUAUAAACUUGUUUCAAUUUCAAAUAAAUAAUUUUUAAUGAA